CGAUUCUGGCUCAGGAUGAACGCUAGCUACAGGCUUAACACAUGCAAGUCGAGAGGCAGCAUGAUCGAAGCUUGCUUUGAUUGAUGGCGACCGGCGCACGGGUGAGUAACGCGUAUCCAACCUUCCCUAUAGUAGAGAAUAGCCCGGCGAAAGUCGGAUUAAUGCUCUAUGUUGUAUUUAGAAGACAUCUGAAGAAUACCAAAGGUUUACCGCUAUAGGAUGGGGAUGCGUCUGAUUAGGUUGUUGGCGGGGUAACGGCCCACCAAGCCCACGAUCAGUAGGGGUUCUGAGAGGAAGGUCCCCCACAUUGGAACUGAGACACGGUCCAAACUCCUACGGGAGGCAGCAGUGAGGAAUAUUGGUCAAUGGACGCAAGUCUGAACCAGCCAAGUAGCCGUGCAGGAUGACGGCCCUAUGGGUUGUAAACUGCUUUUAUACAGGGAUAAAGUGAGGGACGUGUCCCUUUUUGUAGGUACUGUAUGAAUAAGGACCGGCUAAUUCCGUGCCAGCCGCCGC
RNAcentral lists this ribosomal RNA (516 nucleotides) under uncultured bacterium. Its description in RNAcentral is "bacterial SSU rRNA". It matches the Rfam family "Bacterial small subunit ribosomal RNA", at positions 14 to 518 of the family's 1533-position model. The record is from RNAcentral.